RNAcentral lists this ribosomal RNA (253 nucleotides) under uncultured bacterium. Its description in RNAcentral is "partial 16S ribosomal RNA". It matches the Rfam family "Bacterial small subunit ribosomal RNA", at positions 524 to 776 of the family's 1533-position model. The record is from RNAcentral.
UACGGAGGGUGCAAGCGUUGCUCGGAAUUAUUGGGCGUAAAGGGUAGGUAGGUGGUCUCGUUUGUCUGGGGUGAAAGCCUUGAGCUUAACUCAAGGAGUGCCCCAGAAACGGCGAGACUAGAGUCCUGGAGAGGGUCGUGGAAUUCCCGGUGUAGCGGUGAAAUGCGUAGAGAUCGGGAGGAACACCAGAGGCGAAGGCGGCGACCUGGACAGGUACUGACACUCAACUACGAAAGCGCGGGGAGCAAACAGG